UUAAGUUAUUAAGGGCGCACGGUGGAUGCCUUGGCACUAGAAGCCGAUGAAGGACGUUACUAACGACGAUAUGCUUUGGGGAGCUGUAAGUAAGCUUUGAUCCAGAGAUUUCCGAAUGGGGAAACCCAGCAUGAGUUAUGUCAUGUUAUCGAUAUGUGAAUACAUAGCAUAUCAGAAGGCACACCCGGAGAACUGAAACAUCUUAGUAACCGGAGGAAGAGAAAGAAAAUUCGAUUCCCUUAGUAGCGGCGAGCGAAACGGGAAGAGCCCAAACCAACAAGCUUGCUUGUUGGGGUUGUAGGACACUCUAUACGGAGUUACAAAGGACGACAUUAGACGAAUCAUCUGGAAAGAUGAAUCAAAGAAGGUAAUAAUCCUGUAGUCGAAAAUGUUGUCUCUCUUGAGUGGAUCCUGAGUACGACGGAGCACGUGAAAUUCCGUCGGAAUCUGGGAGGACCAUCUCCUAAGGCUAAAUACUCUCUAGUGACCGAUAGUGAACCAGUACCGUGAGGGAAAGGUGAAAAGCACCCCGGAAGGGGAGUGAAAUAGAACCUGAAACCGUGUGCUUACAAGUAGUCAGAGCCCGUUAAUGGGUGAUGGCGUGCCUUUUGUAGAAUGAACCGGCGAGUUACGAUUUGAUGCAAGGUUAAGCAGUAAAUGUGGAGCCGUAGCGAAAGCGAGUCUGAAUAGGGCGUUUAGUAUUUGGUCGUAGACCCGAAACCAGGUGAUCUACCCUUGGUCAGGUUGAAGUUCAGGUAACACUGAAUGGAGGACCGAACCGACUUACGUUGAAAAGUGAGCGGAUGAACUGAGGGUAGCGGAGAAAUUCCAAUCGAACCUGGAGAUAGCUGGUUCUCUCCGAAAUAGCUUUAGGGCUAGCCUCAAGUGAUGAUUAUUGGAGGUAGAGCACUGUUUGGACGAGGGGCCCCUCUCGGGUUACCGAAUUCAGACAAACUCCGAAUGCCAAUUAAUUUAACUUGGGAGUCAGAACAUGGGUGAUAAGGUCCGUGUUCGAAAGGGAAACAGCCCAGACCACCAGCUAAGGUCCCAAAAUAUAUGUUAAGUGGAAAAGGAUGUGGCGUUGCCCAGACAACUAGGAUGUUGGCUUAGAAGCAGCCAUCAUUUAAAGAGUGCGUAAUAGCUCACUAGUCGAGUGACACUGCGCCGAAAAUGUACCGGGGCUAAACAUAUUACCGAAGCUGUGGAUUGUCCUUUGGACAAUGGUAGGAGAGCGUUCUAAGGGCGUUGAAGCAUGAUCGUAAGGACAUGUGGAGCGCUUAGAAGUGAGAAUGCCGGUGUGAGUAGCGAAAGACGGGUGAGAAUCCCGUCCACCGAUUGACUAAGGUUUCCAGAGGAAGGCUCGUCCGCUCUGGGUUAGUCGGGUCCUAAGCUGAGGCCGACAGGCGUAGGCGAUGGAUAACAGGUUGAUAUUCCUGUACCACCUAUAAUCGUUUUAAUCGAUGGGGGGGACGCAGUAGGAUAGGCGAAGCGUGCGAUUGGAUUGCACGUCUAAGCAGUAAGGCUGAGUAUUAGGCAAAUCCGGUACUCGUUAAGGCUGAGCUGUGAUGGGGAGAAGACAUUGUGUCUUCGAGUCGUUGAUUUCACACUGCCGAGAAAAGCCUCUAGAUAGAAAAUAGGUGCCCGUACCGCAAACCGACACAGGUAGUCAAGAUGAGAAUUCUAAGGUGAGCGAGCGAACUCUCGUUAAGGAACUCGGCAAAAUGACCCCGUAACUUCGGGAGAAGGGGUGCUCUUUAGGGUUAACGCCCAGAAGAGCCGCAGUGAAUAGGCCCAAGCGACUGUUUAUCAAAAACACAGGUCUCUGCUAAACCGUAAGGUGAUGUAUAGGGGCUGACGCCUGCCCGGUGCUGGAAGGUUAAGAGGAGUGGUUAGCUUCUGCGAAGCUACGAAUCGAAGCCCCAGUAAACGGCGGCCGUAACUAUAACGGUCCUAAGGUAGCGAAAUUCCUUGUCGGGUAAGUUCCGACCCGCACGAAAGGCGUAACGAUUUGGGCACUGUCUCAACGAGAGACUCGGUGAAAUCAUAGUACCUGUGAAGAUGCAGGUUACCCGCGACAGGACGGAAAGACCCCGUGGAGCUUUACUGUAGCCUGAUAUUGAAAUUCGGCACAGCUUGUACAGGAUAGGUAGGAGCCUUUGAAACGUGAGCGCUAGCUUACGUGGAGGCGCUGGUGGGAUACUACCCUAGCUGUGUUGGUUUUCUAACCCGCACCACUUAUCGUGGUGGGAGACAGUGUCAGGCGGGCAGUUUGACUGGGGCGGUCGCCUCCUAAAAGGUAACGGAGGCGCUCAAAGGUUCCCUCAGAAUGGUUGGAAAUCAUUCAUAGAGUGUAAAGGCAUAAGGGAGCUUGACUGCGAGACCUACAAGUCGAGCAGGGUCGAAAGACGGACUUAGUGAUCCGGUGGUUCCGCAUGGAAGGGCCAUCGCUCAACGGAUAAAAGCUACCCCGGGGAUAACAGGCUUAUCUCCCCCAAGAGUUCACAUCGACGGGGAGGUUUGGCACCUCGAUGUCGGCUCAUCGCAUCCUGGGGCUGUAGUCGGUCCCAAGGGUUGGGCUGUUCGCCCAUUAAAGCGGUACGCGAGCUGGGUUCAGAACGUCGUGAGACAGUUCGGUCCCUAUCCGUCGUGGGCGUAGGAAAUUUGAGAGGAGCUGUCCUUAGUACGAGAGGACCGGGAUGGACAUACCUCUGGUGUACCAGUUGUCGUGCCAACGGCAUAGCUGGGUAGCUAUGUGUGGACGGGAUAAGUGCUGAAAGCAUCUAAGCAUGAAGCCCCCCUCAAGAUGAGAUUUCCCAACUUCGGUUAUAAGAUCCCUCAAAGAUGAUGAGGUUAAUAGGUUCGAGGUGGAAGCAUGGUGACAUGUGGAGCUGACGAAUACUAAUCGAUCGAAGACUUAAUCAA
This 2922-nucleotide ribosomal RNA is filed under the name Staphylococcus aureus. Its description in RNAcentral is "23S ribosomal RNA". It matches the Rfam family "Bacterial large subunit ribosomal RNA". The record is from RNAcentral. Lineage: Bacteria; Bacillati; Bacillota; Bacilli; Caryophanales; Staphylococcaceae.